RNAcentral lists this ribosomal RNA (373 nucleotides) under uncultured bacterium. Its description in RNAcentral is "bacterial SSU rRNA". It matches the Rfam family "Bacterial small subunit ribosomal RNA", at positions 29 to 416 of the family's 1533-position model. The record is from RNAcentral.
AACGAACGCUGGCGGCAGGCCUAAUACAUGCAAGUCGAGCGCGCCUUGGGUACUUGUACCCAAGUGUGAGCGGCGGACGGGUUAGUAACGCGUGGGAACAUACCCUUCUCUGGGGAAUAGCCUUUGGAAACGAAGAGUAAUACCGCAUAAGCCCCUCGGGGGAAAGAUUUAUCGGUGAAGGAUUGGCCCGCGUUAGAUUAGGUAGUUGGUGAGGUAACGGCUCACCAAGCCUACGAUCUAUAGCUGGUUUGAGAGGAUGAUCAGCAACACUGGGACUGAGACACGGCCCAGACUCCUACGGGAGGCAGCAGUAGGGAAUCUUGGACAAUGGGCGCAAGCCUGAUCCAGCCAUGCCGCGUGAGUGAAGAAGGCC